Molecule: ribosomal RNA, 235 nt
Filed under: uncultured bacterium
Lineage: Bacteria
Description: partial 16S ribosomal RNA
Rfam family: Bacterial small subunit ribosomal RNA
Source: RNAcentral
UAGGGAAUCUUCCACAAUGGACGCAAGUCUGAUGGAGCAACGCCGCGUGAGUGAAGAAGGUUUUCGGACCGUAAAGCUCUGUUGUUGGUGAAGAAGGAUAGAGGUAGUAACUGGCCUUUAUUUGACGGUAAUCAACCAGAAAGUCACGGCUAACUACGUGCCAGCAGCCGCGGUAAUACGUAGGUGGCAAGCGUUGUCCGGAUUUAUUGGGCGUAAAGCGAGCGCAGGCGGAAGA